AAGAAAUAUUUUAGAGGGCAAAAUAAUAUUAUUUUAUUAUCUCUAUGUUGCCCUAACUUGUGUUGUCCUAAUUUCUCAUCGAGUUUCUAUAUGUUGGAGUUUUGCUACAUUUUGGAUAUGCUGGAGUUUAUUAUUUCUGGUAUUUCUCUCGGAUUGAGAAGAAGAAACCUUACAUGGUUCAGAGAUCGAAUGGGGUUCAUCAUAAGCCUUUGGAGGACGAAAUCCUCUUCCAGUAAUCAGUUUCGGUGGUGUAAGAUCAACUCUAGCUAGUCUUUGUUGGAGACACCAUUCAGGUAUUUUAGUGUAUUCAGAUUUGAUCACUCGUGUGGUUUCUAUCAGAGCAGUCUAUAGGAGUUUGGAUAAUUAUUGGCAAACAUUGUGAAGGAGUUUGGAUGUCAUACUUGUUGAAGCUGAGUGUUGGACAUUUCUGGUGCUACAGUGACUCGCAGCUAUAGUGACAUGAAUAGUGACUUGCAGCUACAAUGACAUGAAUGGUGACUCACAGCAUUACAGUAAUUUUUGCUGCAUGAUUCAGUCUGAGAUAAACAUUAAAUGCUCCUAUCCUUGGGAAUUGAAUGUGUAGAAUUUUGAAGGUGAUUUGACUUGGUUCCUAGCUGUUUGUCUUGUCCCAGUGCUUGUGACUCAGCUGGGUAUGCCUGAAAAGUAUCUUCUGAUAUGUGUUUGACCUUUUUCCUGCCAUUCAGAGGGUGCUAAACAAGGUGGGAGUGAAUAAGGUGUUUGUGUCCAUUGCUAGGGUGUCCGAGGUGAAGUUGGAAGUUGAUGGCAGAGGUUACCUUUGCUGUUAGAGACUGUAUCAGACCAUUUCUACACCUGUUCAUUGCCAAGAUUUACUUAAGAGACCUAUUCCUUUAGAAAGCAGCGAGAUAAAGUUGAUUGGAGGUUGUUAUUAGUGGCCCCUUCUGCUGAUUGGAACAGUAACAGUCCUUUUUCGAACCUGCUAUCACCCAGAAAAGUGCAUCAAAACUAAAAAUAUUUUUUGAACUGGGUAUAUCAGAUCCACAUUGUUCAUGAUUGUCUCCAGAAUUGAGUUUGCAAGGAUUUUGGGGUGAUUUCUAUAGGUGAACCUUCAUUUUUACUCGUUGGUUAGUGCUGGCUGGGUGUUAGGAGGAGUGCUGAGUGAAUUAUUCAUGCUCUAUUGCCCGUGGCAGUGCAUAUUGGCGUAUUAUAAGACCUGCGACAGAUGAUGAUGAUCCUUAAAUGAGGCAAAGCGGUUUUCAAAGUUCAUGGGAGUGUAAAAAAUUCUUGGAAAAUUUGAAUGUAAAGAAUUCCUACUAAUGGCUUAGCUCCCACAUCAUUUGGUAAAGUACCUAGCAGAUAUCUGUGUUCAGAAGGAAGUUGAUUUGUAAUUCUAAGCUUGGUUGUUGAUAUCUAUGGUGGUCAGCUGAAAUUUUUUAAACAUUUUGACCUCAAAAUCAUGCACCUUUUCUGUACAAUCUUAAUAUUGCUCUGCUAUAUCCUGCAAGUUAACUCAAUUCCGAUAGAAGUGAUUCCCUUUUAUUUUCUGCAACAGAGGUCUUAUUAACAACAAAGUAGCCCUUUAAAAGCUUUUGUGUGUAGGAAAUUAUACAUCUUUGCAAAGUAUGGUGGAAUUAAUUUGCAUCUGGCUCUAUAUAUUGUGCUACUCCCUGUCUACAAAAUUAUACAUUUCUGCAAAAUUAUCAUGAACUUUAUUUGGGGCUGACUCUAUAUUGUGCUACUCUUUGCCUUAAUGUCGAGCACCUGGCUUAUCUUAAGACAUGCUCCUUUAAAAUUCUAAAAUGUGACAAGCACAUUUUUGGACUGUAGUUUUGUAGCGAUGUAUAUUGUUAACCAUGGGCAAUAAAGAACAAGAGGUGUUGUGUUGCUA
This is a long non-coding RNA of Cryptomeria japonica (Japanese cedar), 1867 nucleotides long. RefSeq lists it as uncharacterized. The record is from RefSeq and is a predicted model, not a curated record. Lineage: Eukaryota; Viridiplantae; Streptophyta; Pinopsida; Cupressales; Cupressaceae. The transcript has 2 exons.